Molecule: ribosomal RNA, 861 nt
Filed under: uncultured bacterium
Lineage: Bacteria
Description: bacterial SSU rRNA
Rfam family: Bacterial small subunit ribosomal RNA
Source: RNAcentral
GCUCAGGAUAAACGCUGGCGGCGUGCCUAACACAUGCAAGUCGAACGAAGAGGCUCCUUCGGGAGUACUUCAGUGGCGGACGGGUGAGUAACACGUAGGUGACCUACCCCAAAGCGGGGGAUAACAGUCCGAAAGGAUUGCUAAUACCCCAUGUGGUCGACGAGGUUCGAGUCUUGGCGACUAAAGGAGCAAUCCGCUUUGGGAGGGGCCUGCGCCCCAUCAGCUAGUUGGUAGGGUAAUGGCCUACCAAGGCAACAACGGGUAGGGGGCCUGAGAGGGUGACCCCCCACAUUGGCACUGACACACGGGCCAAACUCCUACGGGAGGCAGCAGUGAGGAAUAUUGCUCAAUGGGCGAAAGCCUGAAGCAGCAACGCCGCGUGCGCGAUGAAGGCCUUCGGGUCGUAAAGCGCUUUUGAGAGGGACGAGACAGGACGGUACCUCUUGAAUAAGUCACGGCUAACUACGUGCCAGCAGCCGCGGUAAAACGUAGGUGGCAAGCGUUAUCCGGAUUCACUGGGCGUAAAGCGCGUGCAGGUGGCUCUGUAAGUUGGAUGUGAAAUUUCCCGGCUUAACCGGGAAGGGUCAUUCAAUACUGCGGGGCUUGAGGGCAGAAGAGGGGGGUGGAAUUGCCGGUGUAGUGGUGAAAUGCGUAGAUAUCGGCAGGAACACCUGUGGCGAAAGCGGCCCCCUGGUCUGCUCCUGACACUCAGACGCGAAAGCUAGGGGAGCGAACGGGAUUAGAAACCCCGGUAGUCCUAGCCGUAAACGAUGGAUGCUAGGUGUAGGUGGUAUUGACCCCAUCUGUGCCGAAGCCAACGCGUUAAGCAUCCCGCCUGGGGACUACGGCCGGCAGGUUAAA